CUUCCGUAAGGGGAACCUGCGGAAGGAUCAUUACAAGUGAGGCUACCGAACGCUGGAAACAGCGGUUAGGAGCUUACACCCACCCGUGUUUACAUACUAUUGUUGCUUUGGCGGGCCGUGGCCUCCACUGCGGGCUCUGCUCGUGUGUGCCCGCCAGAGGACCAAACUCUGAAUGUUAGUGAUGUCUGAGUACUAUCUAAUAGUUAAAACUUUCAACAACGGAUCUCUUGGUUCUGGCAUCGAUGAAGAACGCAGCGAAAUGCGAUAAGUAAUGUGAAUUGCAGAAUUCAGUGAAUCAUCGAAUCUUUGAACGCACAUUGCGCCCUGUGGUAUUCCGCAGGGCAUGCCUGUUCGAGCGUCAUUUAACCACUCACGCCUAGCGUGGUAUUGGGGCACGCGGUCUCCGCGGCCCUCAAAAUUAGUGGCGGUGCCGGUGGGCUCUAAGCGUAGUACAUACUCCCGCUAUAGAGUUCCCCCCGGUGGCUCGCCAGAACCCCCAAUUUUUACAGGUGACCUCGGAUCAGGUAGGAUCCCGGUCCU
Molecule: ribosomal RNA, 540 nt
Filed under: Phialocephala fortinii
Lineage: Eukaryota; Fungi; Ascomycota; Leotiomycetes; Helotiales; Mollisiaceae
Description: eukaryotic LSU rRNA
Rfam family: 5.8S ribosomal RNA (bases 208-361)
Source: RNAcentral